This 468-nucleotide ribosomal RNA is filed under the name uncultured bacterium. RNAcentral's name for it is "partial 16S ribosomal RNA". It matches the Rfam family "Bacterial small subunit ribosomal RNA", at positions 28 to 507 of the family's 1533-position model. The record is from RNAcentral.
GACGAACGCUGGCGGCGUGCUUAACACAUGCAAGUCGAACGGAAAGGCCCUGCUCUUGUGGGGUGCUCGAGUGGCGAACGGGUGAGUAACACGCGAGUAACCUGCCCUUGACUUUGGGAUAACUUCAGGAAACUGGGGCUAAUACCGGAUAGGAGCUCCUGCUGCAUGGUGGGGGUUGGAAAGUUUCGGCGGUUGGGGAUGGACUAGCGGCUUAUCAGCUUGUUGGUGGGGUUGUGGCUUACCAAGGCUUUGACGGGUAGCCGGCCUGAGAGGGUGACCGGCCACAAUGGGACUGAGAUACGGCCCAGUCUCCUACGGGAGGCAGCAGUGGGGAAUAUUGCACAAUGGGCGGAAGCCUGAUGCAGCAACGCCGCGUGCGGGAUGACGGCCUUCGGGUUGUGAACCGCUUUCGCCUGUGACGAAGCGUGAGUGACGGUAAUGGGUAAAGAAGCACCGGCUAACUACGUG